UACGGAGGAUCCGAGCGUUAUCCGGAUUUACUGGGUGUAAAGGGAGCGUAGACGGUUACGCAAGUCUGGAGUGAAAGGCGGGGGCCCAACCCCCGGACUGCUUUGGAAACUGUAUAACUGGAGUGCAGGAGAGGUAAGUGGAAUUCCUAGUGUAGCGGUGAAAUGCGUAGAUAUUAGGAGGAACACCAGUGGCGAAGGCGGCUUACUGGACUGUAAAUGACGCUGAGGCACGAAAGCGUGGGGAGCAAAUAGG
This 253-nucleotide ribosomal RNA is filed under the name uncultured Eubacteriales bacterium. RNAcentral describes it as "uncultured Clostridiales bacterium partial 16S ribosomal RNA". It matches the Rfam family "Bacterial small subunit ribosomal RNA", at positions 524 to 776 of the family's 1533-position model. The record is from RNAcentral. Lineage: Bacteria; Bacillati; Bacillota; Clostridia; Eubacteriales.